AUCACUGGAUUGUCUGGUCCAGACUCGAUUAUUAACAGACCGCCGUCAUAUGGCUGGAAUAUUGCUGAGUGCGGCGUUAAACAACCAACCAAACAACCAAUCAUUUGUUGAAAUGUGUGGAUUCGUCAACGUUUUAUAUAAUGUUCAAACUAUUUCUGAUCUUUUUUUUAUACCGUUUCCAACCACUUAUAUUAGCAUAUUUGAAGCAAAUUAAACUGUGAUAAGAUGUAGAUUUUUUAAAUUGUCCCUUUUUACAGUUAACUGUGCUAAAAGAUUGAAGUUUUAGUGAUCUUUGUUGUCACUUUUUGUCUGUGUUCUCUUCCACAGAAAAAACUAAACUGCUUUCUCGCCGCGAAUAGUUACAAUACUGGUGAUGCGGCUUAACGCAAUACUCCCUCACUCACUCACUCAAGGAUGGCGACUUCACUUCUGAUGGUUGGUGGCGCGUUAAACUUCGCGAACAACCUGAUAUCAUCACUAUUUCAUAGUGAUUCAUAAACACAUGCUUAUGACACACUCUAUGGACAUUUGUACAAGGCGGAAGUGAUCACGAGUCGGAUUUUCGAGUGACGUCAACUUCCCUUAUGUCAACUAAUUUAUGAAUGGGACAAACCAUACAUGUUAGAAGAUUUAUUGUUAUUACGACUGACGUACUUGUAGUGUGUACAAGAAGGGGAUUGAAAUGUCGGAGUGCCCAAAAGACUUUUACUUGGAACCAUUGUCUGGGACUUGCAAACCUUGUGAUGAAUUAUGCCACCAAGCAACUGUCAGGGGGACAGUCAGACUCUGUCGAAGAUUUUGUCCAGUGGUUGUUAAUGCGCCUGUCACGGAGGCACCGAUCGCGACUGAUCCAGUUACGACAGUUUUCACACCCAGUUACGAGCAAUCAACCAACAGCUUGAGUAGUGAUGGUUCACUUGAAGCGCAAUAUGCCGUCAUUAUUCUAGCGACUUUAAUCAUCCUGAUUUCCCUGGUACCGUUAGUGGUUCUCCUAAAAAGAGAAAUUAUAAACUUCCUGAACAGACGAAAUAUGGAGACGAAGCGCGAAACCUCGCCGGGAACCCGGUUUAAUACCAAUCUACAAAUCUAGAAAUCAUUCAACAGAAAUCCGAUGAUAAAUAGGAGUACAUUAACAAAAACAACAACCUCCAAAUCAUGAAAAUAUUAUUGAUACAUGUAUUUCAACAUUAGAAAUCAGAAUGCAGUCUUAAUACAUAUAUUUAUAUUUUAUGCAUGCCUCGCGUGAAGUCAGUCAGAAGAAUGUCCAUGCAUAUAUCACGUCAUACAUUAAAAUGCAUCAUAAGUAAAUGUUUACUUCACAAGUACAUGUAGAUCCUUUCUGUGUUUGUGGCGGGUGCCACCAGUGGGACAGGAUACGCUCACCUUUUCUCGAAUGGUUGGUGUCAUCACUGUCUGAUAGUGAGUGAGUUAGUGAGUAUGGUUUUACGCUGCUUUUAGCAAUA
Molecule: RNA transcript, 1463 nt
Organism: Haliotis rufescens (red abalone)
Lineage: Eukaryota; Metazoa; Mollusca; Gastropoda; Lepetellida; Haliotidae
Exons: 4
Source: RefSeq, a predicted model, not a curated record